Molecule: ribosomal RNA, 372 nt
Filed under: uncultured organism
Description: partial 16S ribosomal RNA
Rfam family: Bacterial small subunit ribosomal RNA
Source: RNAcentral
GGAGGGGUGCAAGCGUUAAUCGGAAUUACUGGGCGUAAAGCGCACGCAGGCGGUUUGUUAAGUCAGAUGUGAAAUCCCCGGGCUCAACCUGGGAACUGCAUCUGAUACUGGCAAGCUUGAGUCUCGUAGAGGGGGGUAGAAUUCCAGGUGUAGCGGUGAAAAUGCGUAGAGAUCUGGAGGAAUACCGGUGGCGAAGGCGGCCCCCUGGACGAAGACUGACGCUCAGGUGCGAAAGCGUGGGGAGCAAACAGGAUUAGAUACCCUGGUAGUCCACGCCGUAAACGAUGUCGACUUGGAGGUUGUGCCCUUGAGGCGUGGCUUCCGGAGCUAACGCGUUAAGUCGACCGCCUGGGGAGUACGGCCGCAAAGUUA